Molecule: unclassified non-coding RNA, 492 nt
Filed under: Cyperus platystylis
Lineage: Eukaryota; Viridiplantae; Streptophyta; Magnoliopsida; Poales; Cyperaceae
Description: partial external transcribed spacer 1f
Source: RNAcentral
UUUUUGACUUGCUAUGCAUGGCAGGCUCCCUGCACUUACGUGCGGCUAACUGUCAUGGGCUGUCUAUUCAUUGUCCCUUUGAUUAGCAUUUUGGCUCUUUUGGGGUGCUCGGUCUGGUUGCCUGUGUUGUAUUACCACUGUUGGUAGCAUGAUUGUCAUGUUGUUGCCUAUUUAGCUCGCUCUGUUGAUGCUGUGCAACGACGGGGGGCCGAGGUGUCACAGAUUCCAUGUGUUGCCAUGUGCUUGUGCCUUGGAAAUGCAUUUGGGAUAUUGUUAGAACUCACGGAUAUUGUCUCUUUAGUGAGAGGUCUACGGGCUUCAAGCUGGUAGACCUACGAGGUUGCCCGUGCACAUAUCAUUGUUCCUGAUGUUUUGUUGACAUGUCGUGGUUCUUGCGUCGUGUUGUAGGAUAUGCAGGGCAUAUGAUUACGUGUGCGUGGCAUGCCUCUUUGACCGAUUGACAUGCGAUUGCUGGUUUGCAUUGUCAUCAGG